GGGGAUGUAGCUCAGUGUGGAGUGCAUGCUUUGCAUGUAUGAGGCUCCGGGUUCAAACCCUGGCAUCAACA
Non-coding RNA from Salmo salar (Atlantic salmon), 71 nucleotides. The record is from Rfam. Lineage: Eukaryota; Metazoa; Chordata; Actinopteri; Salmoniformes; Salmonidae.